RNAcentral lists this ribosomal RNA (448 nucleotides) under uncultured bacterium. Its description in RNAcentral is "partial 16S ribosomal RNA". It matches the Rfam family "Bacterial small subunit ribosomal RNA", at positions 29 to 523 of the family's 1533-position model. The record is from RNAcentral.
AACGAACGCUGGCGGCAGGCCUAACACAUGCAAGUCGAACGGGACCUUCGGGUCUAGUGGCGGACGGGUGAGUAACGCGUGGGAACGUGCCCUUUGGUUCGGGAUAGCCCUGGAAACUGGGAGUAAUACCGGAUACGGUCGAGAGACGAAAGAUUUAUCGCCGAAGGAUCGGCCCGCGUUGGAUUAGGUAGUUGGUGGGGUAAUGGCCUACCAAGCCGACGAUCCAUAGCUGGUUUGAGAGGAUGAUCAGCCACACUGGGACUGAGACACGGCCCAGACUCCUACGGGAGGCAGCAGUGGGGAAUCUUAGACAAUGGGGGAAACCCUGAUCUAGCCAUGCCGCGUGAGCGAUGAAGGCCUUAGGGUUGUAAAGCUCUUUCAGUGGGGAAGAUAAUGACGGUACCCACAGAAGAAGCCCCGGCUAACUCCGUGCCAGCCGCCGCGGUAA